RNAcentral lists this ribosomal RNA (157 nucleotides) under Diaporthe caulivora. RNAcentral's name for it is "5.8S ribosomal RNA". The stretch from base 26 to 157 matches the Rfam family "5.8S ribosomal RNA", at positions 1 to 132 of the family's 154-position model. From Rfam's summary of the family: 5.8S ribosomal RNA (5.8S rRNA) is a component of the large subunit of the eukaryotic ribosome. Lineage: Eukaryota; Fungi; Ascomycota; Sordariomycetes; Diaporthales; Diaporthaceae. The record is from RNAcentral.
UGAGAAAUNNACNUAAAUGAAUCAAAACUUUCAACAACGGAUCUCUUGGUUCUGGCAUCGAUGAAGAACGCAGCGAAAUGCGAUAAGUAAUGUGAAUUGCAGAAUUCAGUGAAUCAUCGAAUCUUUGAACGCACAUUGCGCCCUCUGGUAUUCCGGA